AAUGGGCGAAAGCCUGACGCAGCAACGCCGCGUGCGGGAUGAAGGCCCUCGGGUCGUAAACCGCUUUCAGUAGGGACGAAGAUGACGGUACCUACAGAAGAAGCCCCGGCUAAAUACGUGCCAGCAGCCGCGGUGAUACGUAUGGGGCAAGCGUUGUCCGGAUUUAUUGGGCGUAAAGAGCUCGUAGGCGGUUCAGCAAGUCAGGUGUGAAAAAUCUAGGCUCAACCUAGUGGAGCACUUGAUACUGCUGUGACUUGAGUCCGGUAGGGGAGUGUGGAAUUCCUGGUGUAGCGGUGAAAUGCGCAGAUAUCAGGAGGAACACCGACAGCGAAGGCAGCACUCUGGGCCGGAACUGACGCUGAGGAGCGAAAGCGUGGGUAGCAAA
RNAcentral lists this ribosomal RNA (385 nucleotides) under uncultured bacterium. RNAcentral's name for it is "bacterial SSU rRNA". It matches the Rfam family "Bacterial small subunit ribosomal RNA", at positions 370 to 772 of the family's 1533-position model. The record is from RNAcentral.